RNAcentral lists this ribosomal RNA (254 nucleotides) under uncultured bacterium. RNAcentral describes it as "partial 16S ribosomal RNA". It matches the Rfam family "Bacterial small subunit ribosomal RNA", at positions 524 to 776 of the family's 1533-position model. The record is from RNAcentral.
UACGUAGGGUGCGAGCGUUGUCCGGAAUUAUUGGGCGUAAAGAGCUCGUAGGCGGUCUGUCGCGUCGGUCGUGAAAACUUGGGGCUUAACCCUGAGCUUGCGGUCGAUACGGGCAUGACUGGAGUUCGGCAGGGGAGACUGGAAUUCCUGGUGUAGCGGUGAAAUGCGCAGAUAUCAGGAGGAACACCAGCGGCGAAGGCGGUGCUCUGGGCCGGAACUGACGCUGAGGAGCGAAAGCGUGGGGAGCGAACAGG